RNAcentral lists this non-coding RNA (68 nucleotides) under Flavonifractor plautii. Lineage: Bacteria; Bacillati; Bacillota; Clostridia; Eubacteriales; Oscillospiraceae. The record is from RNAcentral.
AGCCGAAACGCCUCUCUUGGGGCGUCCGCCGUGGACCGGCCCCCCGGCGCUGAUGAUGGUAGGCCAAU